CUACGUGCCAGCAGCCGCGGUAAUACGUAGGGGGCAAGCGUUAUCCGGAUUUACUGGGUGUAAAGGGAGCGUAGACGGCAUAGCAAGUCUGAAGUGAAAUACCCGGGCUCAACCUGGGAACUGCUUUGGAAACUGUUAAGCUGGAGUGCUGGAGAGGCAAGCGGAAUUCCUAGUGUAGCGGUGAAAUGCGUAGAUAUUAGGAGGAACACCAGUGGCGAAGGCGGCUUACUGGACAGUAACUGACGUUGGGGCUCGAAAGCGUGGGGAGCA
Molecule: ribosomal RNA, 270 nt
Filed under: uncultured bacterium
Lineage: Bacteria
Description: partial 16S ribosomal RNA
Rfam family: Bacterial small subunit ribosomal RNA
Source: RNAcentral